GUCUAUGGCCAUACCACCCUGAAUGCACCGAUCUCAUCUGGUAUUGAAAGCUAAGCAGGGUCAGGCCUGGUUAGUACUUGUAAGACAGACCUUCAGAAGAGACUGCUCAGAGACA
Molecule: ribosomal RNA, 115 nt
Filed under: Castor canadensis (American beaver)
Lineage: Eukaryota; Metazoa; Chordata; Mammalia; Rodentia; Castoridae
Source: RNAcentral